Molecule: ribosomal RNA, 514 nt
Filed under: uncultured archaeon
Lineage: Archaea
Description: bacterial SSU rRNA
Rfam family: Archaeal small subunit ribosomal RNA
Source: RNAcentral
GGGCGACUGUCACAUGAAGGCCGGGCCGAUGACCCUGCCAGAUUCUCAGAGAGGUGGUGCAUGGCCGUCGUCAGUUCGUACCGUAAGGCGUUCUCUUAAGUGAGAUAACGAACGAGACCCUCACCUGCAAUUGCUACCCGCCCCUCCGGGGGCGGGGCACAUUGCCGGGACCGCCGGCGCUAAGCCGGAGGAAGGAGAGGUCAACGGUAGGUCAGUAUGCCCCGAAUCUCUUGGGCUACACGCGCGCUACAAAGGGCGGGACAAUGGGUUCCGACGCCGAGAGGCGGAGGCAAUCCCGAAACCCGUCCGUAGUUCGGAUUGAGGGCUGUAACCCGCCCUCAUGAAGCUGGAUUCCGUAGUAAUCGCGAAUCAACAAUUCGCGGUGAAUAUGCCCCUGCUCCUUGCACACACCGCCCGUCAAACCAUCCGAGUCGGGUUUCAGUGAGGCCGCUCCUGAUUGGGGCGUUCGAACUGAGAUUCAGCAAGGAAGGUUAAGUCGUAACAAGGUAGCCGU